UCCAUCACUAUAGAUAAAAAGAAAAAAGCCAAUUCUACUAUGGUGCAGAACAUAACACUUUGAAAAAUGUUGUACAGCGUAUGAAGUUGUUUUACAAAAACAACAGUUUUGUCUCACUACUUAUCGUUUCCAUGUUGCUGUUGUUCCUGGCAGUGAUGGUAUGGGGACUUGGCAUGAAGACAAUUUUCAUACUAAAUCCAAAGCAACUCUUAAAUACUAGAUAGGAACUUCACAAUAAGUGACUGAGCAUUAUCAGCAUGACUAAUUGUAUUAUUCUAACUGAAUAGAUUUAAAAUCUAAGAGCCUAAACAUAUGUAUUAGUGGCCGAUUCAUUUUGUCACUGAAGUUCUCUUAAAAUAUAAGUAGCCUUCUGGGAUUAUUUUUGGCUUAAUGGAAAAUAUUCAAGCUCCUGGAAGAAAACAGAAGGGAUAAAUCAGAACAAGAACCUGGAGGUAUAUUGGUUCUAAUUAUUCUCCCAUGCUGGCGUGCAGACAUUUAGGACAAAGCAAAGGAGGAAAGCGACCAACCAACCACUAAUUUUCGAAACAAAAUGUGAGAGAAGUGAAGGGGUGCAAACACUUUCUGAAGGCACGGUAUUUGGAUAGGAAGAGACCGAG
Esox lucius (northern pike) is the source of this 617-nucleotide long non-coding RNA. RefSeq lists it as uncharacterized. Lineage: Eukaryota; Metazoa; Chordata; Actinopteri; Esociformes; Esocidae. The record is from RefSeq and is a predicted model, not a curated record. The transcript is spliced from 3 exons.